This 275-nucleotide ribosomal RNA is filed under the name uncultured Corallococcus sp. RNAcentral describes it as "partial 16S ribosomal RNA". It matches the Rfam family "Bacterial small subunit ribosomal RNA", at positions 338 to 606 of the family's 1533-position model. Lineage: Bacteria; Pseudomonadati; Myxococcota; Myxococcia; Myxococcales; Myxococcaceae. The record is from RNAcentral.
CCUACGGGGGGCUGCAGUGGGGAAUUUUGCGCAAUGGGCGAAAGCCUGACGCAGCAACGCCGCGUGUGUGAUGAAGGUCUUUGGAUUGUAAAGCACUUUCGACCGGGACGAAACCGUAAAGCCUAAUACGCUUUGCCUUGACGGUACCGGGAGAAGAAGCACCGGCUAACUCUGUGCCAGCAGCCGCGGUAAUACAGAGGGUGCAAGCGUUGUUCGGAAUUAUUGGGCGUAAAGCGCGUGUAGGCGGCUUUGCAAGUCGGGUGUGAAAGCCCUCA